Molecule: small nucleolar RNA, 138 nt
Organism: Tachyglossus aculeatus (Australian echidna)
Lineage: Eukaryota; Metazoa; Chordata; Mammalia; Monotremata; Tachyglossidae
Source: RefSeq, a predicted model, not a curated record
ACCCUCUCAGGGUCACACCUGGAGAGUUUCAAGAACUCUACCAGUCUCGACUAUGGGAGAGAGAGUCAAGCAGAGGUACACCCAUUAGAUUCCUAGCUUGGCCAGUGGCUAGCGAGUAGAAAGCUAUCUGCUACAAGU